RNAcentral lists this small nuclear RNA (64 nucleotides) under Rattus norvegicus (Norway rat). RNAcentral's name for it is "U7 small nuclear RNA". It matches the Rfam family "U7 small nuclear RNA". From Rfam's summary of the family: Animal histone pre-mRNAs are spliced by a different mechanism than nuclear pre-mRNAs and self-splicing introns. This processing involves the U7 snRNP, which contains only one RNA species: U7. Lineage: Eukaryota; Metazoa; Chordata; Mammalia; Rodentia; Muridae. The record is from Rfam by way of RNAcentral.
GAGUGAACACAACUCUCUUAGAAUUUUUUCUAGCAGCUUUUCUGAUUUUGGUCAGAAAACUCAU